This 206-nucleotide long non-coding RNA is filed under the name Elaeis guineensis (African oil palm). Its description in RNAcentral is "long non-coding RNA (EGUI_LNC020762)". Lineage: Eukaryota; Viridiplantae; Streptophyta; Magnoliopsida; Arecales; Arecaceae. The record is from RNAcentral.
AGUGCCUUUGGUUCUUUAGGGCAUAGAACUUAACAUUAUAUGCGGAAUAUAUCUUUUAGCAUUAUUGAGCUUCUUGCAAAAGUAGGCCAUGCAUGGAUGUUCUUCCUAGCUAAGGUCUUCGAUCAAUAUGAGAGGCGUCACAAGAAAACUUGUACACCUUGUAGAAGUCCAAUAGUCACAAGACCGAUACUUCAGUCAUCCACUAC